Long non-coding RNA from Rhincodon typus (whale shark), 3776 nucleotides. RefSeq lists it as uncharacterized. The record is from RefSeq and is a predicted model, not a curated record. The transcript is spliced from 2 exons. Lineage: Eukaryota; Metazoa; Chordata; Chondrichthyes; Orectolobiformes; Rhincodontidae.
UACUUCUUCUUUCAGAUAUUCAUUAAGUGGGGCUGCUACUACUUCCAACUGAAGGUUAAUGUUUGGUCGUUGCCAUCUGCAUUGAGGAGGUGCUCUCAGGCUGAUCAUUUUACCAUAACCUUUGUAAGGGUUAUCCAGGCACCAGUACCUGCCCUGGACAUACAACUUCAAAAGAUGAAGUCUCUCAGUGGAACCAUCAUUUGUUGCUUAAAGGAACUUUUUUAAAAAUAAUUUCUGUCACAGUGCACAAUUUUGAGUAGGAUGAAAUGCCUAUUGAUUUUGUUUUUAGUCCCAAAUUGUCUGUUUAGGACUGAGAUAUGGGAACUGAAACCUCUGCAGCACCUGUAUCAAGUAUCUGCUUUAAGUUGAUGGGUUUAUUUUUUCUGGGAGAUGGAGAGGAAGUUGUUGCUUCGUAUAUAUUUGUAUAUAGAGUCAUUUUUACUUGAGAUAAAAACCCUGAGAGUGCAUUAAGGACAGAAUUUUACAAAUUGCAGCAACUGAAUGCUUAUGUAGACAAUGUUUUGUGGUGAUUCUCUGAAAGGGCCAAUUGCUUUGCUAACUUUCCUGUAAGGUUCAGUUAAUGUUCAGGUGACAUUUAUUUUAAGCAUUUUCAAGAUCUGGCCAUUUUUUUUUUUUUUGAAAAAUUAAUACCCAAUUUGGAAAACCUCACAUCUCAAAGUCAUCAAAAUAUGCUUUCCCCCCAUCACCUUUCGUGUUAGUUUAUAUAAACAUUGGUCCAAAUUAAAUAUCUUUCUUGAAAUCUGGAUAAUAUUAAUGCUGAAUGCCAUCAUCACUGUUACAUUUACACUGUGCUGGAAAAAUUCAGAACAACAUUGCUGUCAAGGUUUUUUGGGCAUUAAUUUGCUUUCUCUGGUAAUCCAGACAAUACUAAAAGUAACUGGUUGUCACAUUUUUCUUCUUAUUAAGCUCUUUGAAGUUAAGUGCCCCUCCCACUCUACGACAGGAAUGAUCUUUGUCCCUUUUAAGAAAAAGUUUAUCAGAUCUUUAUUGAAUGCACGAUUGCUGAUGACCCCUUCAAGUCAGUCGAGAUCUGAGCUGCCACUGGGUAGCCUCUGCAAAAAUGUUACUGUUGAUUUCUAAACAUGUUAGCUCAAAAGUCUAUUUUCUGUAUCAGAAAGCUAGUUUGUUCUGUUUUUCUAAGUGUGUGCCAGCAUGUGGCUUCAAACCUUACAGACCUUGUAUAAGAGAGUUGCAACAGGUUAAUGACAGAAGGUAUGGUUUUUAGGGGGAAUAGACCCUGGAAGCUCAACAAUGUCAUCACAAAGAGGCCAAAUCAUAUUUCUUGUGUGCCAAAAAGUUGAGACUCAUUAUUGUCCCACUCUUUUACUGAAAAGUUUCCCUCAAACCGAAGAGCUACAGGCUUUCAUACUUAGUGACUUAUCAAUGCAGAAGCACAGUUUUCAACUAAUACAAGAAAUGAGUUCUACCUGAAACUGAUUUUGUAGCUUAGAACUGCAGUGUAAAGGAAGGCCAGUCUGGUUAGAUCAGAGUCCUGGUGCUGGGAUUGCUUUCAAAGGUCUAGUUUGACUGAACAGGCUGUGAAAGCAAUGUUGCAAUCUGACCUUGCUAGUUUUCUGAGGACGGGUUAAGUUUAACUUAACCCAAACUGUGAACACAAGGCUUACAUGCUAUGUCUUGUAGAUGACAUUUUCCAUGGGUUGCAAGAUUAAGAAAUGUUCUCCGUCAGUUUUCUUCAUGCCUCCAGUUCAUUGUCAUCUGCCUUGCUAAAGAAAGUUUCUGAGAAAGAAGCACAAUAAACAGAAUAGCUUGUUUGUGACACUACAGGUAAUGGAAGAUUUGCUUUAUCUCUUGUUACGUUCAUUCCUUGUCCUUAAUGUCAGAAAAGCAAAGUUAUCAAGAAUGGUUGAAUAUAUCUGUUUUCAAAAUGUGGAAGUCAUGUCUGUUCUUUAGAAUGGUUUAAUACAGAAAAAAAAAUGCCACAACAUUGUUGUUCUUUCAAGUGCAGGUCACUUGAUGUUAGUGCCUCAUCAAUCCCCAGAGUCCUCAGGGUUCUGUGUCAAGUGCAUGGUUAAAUUCAGGCAGAAAUAUUCUCCCAGAUAUUUCUCCCCUGACCUUUAGUUGAAUCUGGACCAAUCCUACCCCUGCUAUCCGUGAGGAGGAUUUUCUGAGUCAACAGCUUAGCCAUUUAGACAUGUACAAGCAACAGAAUUACAACGCAGAUCUGCCUUAAGGGCCUGGUGUGGGUGACUGCUAUUUACGUAGUUGCUACUGUAAGGCUCCUACAACUGCUGCUAAUUUACAGGAUAGGAACAGGCCAUUUGAUCCACACCAGUGCUUAUGCUCUAUGGUAACCUCCUCCCUAUCCUUACUACUCCGUCUGUCUGCAUAACCUUUGUAUUUCUUUCACCCUUGUAUUUAUUCAGCUUCCCCUUAAAUGCAUCCUUAUUAUUCUCCUCAACCACUCCCUAUGGUAGAGAGUACCACACUCUUUGGGUAAAGAGGUUUCUCCUGAAUUCCUAACUGGAUUUUUUUUUUAAGUGAAUAUGUAUAUUGACGGUCGCUAGUUUCUGUGUCCCUCGCAUAUGGGAAUACUCUCUUUGAUCUUUACAGAUCUUUAAUGGGUAGCCCCUCACCUUUCUCCUCCUCUAGAAAUUUUUAAAAGGUCAUCCUAUAUUGUUUUGAUAGAAUGACCAGUUAGAACAGUCAGCUGUGAAUCUUAGUGCUGAUCUCAAAGUUCAAAGGUUGUGAAGCUUACUGGCUAAGUCAGACAGCCAACUCAUUCUGCAUAAGAUUAUUUCACCACAGUUUUGCUGGGCAUUCCCACCCCAUGUUAAGCACUCUUGCUGAUCUGUUUUUUAAAUUGACGGUGUAUCAUUUUAUGAAUAUGUCCAGUCAACAGAAGUGUCAGUUAAAAUGUGAGAUCAUAUUUGCUACUUAGAAAUGUUUCUCAAUUUUUGGAUUUUGUAUCUAGUUUAAAAGAGAAAUGCACUUGUGACCAGUAAUGGUUGGCUAAAUUGAAAGUUCCUAUUUGCAGAAUAGUCAUAACUGAGGUACUGAUUAUAGAUCCAUUCAUGUAAAACCUGUUAAACAGAAAAUCUCAGUAACUUGAAUGUACUGUUAGCAUUCUGAUCUUAAGUUAUUUUUUUUUAAGGUGGAUAUUUUCUACUAGUUUGCACUAUAUGUUUGGUUAGUUAAAGAAGAAAGGUGACAUUCGGCACUGUCUACUAAUUAUAAGCUUCAAGCUAUCGCUGAUUGCAUAACAAGUGCCAUGACUCAUUAUGCGCUCUUUCUUGUGGUCUUGAGCUGCACUUUCCAAUGUCAUUACAUCCUUAUUUUGGUUUGUGUGUAUUUGGCUGCACUUUUAAAAGAAUUUCUUUUUAGUAAUGAAAACAUGGUACAUGAGUCACAGUUUUGUACCUAUUCUCUCCCGUUAACUCCAAUUUCUUCACAAUCAAAGGAAACUGUAAUUAUUAUAUUCUGUGCAUAAAAUGGCAAUAAAGUAGUAGGAUCAUCAGGAAAUGUUCUUAAACACAGGUAUAAUGUAUGGAGUGAUUCAAUUAAAAAGACAAUAUUUUUAUAUGUGUGUGUAAAGAGCUAGUAUUGCAGUAAAUCUGUCCUUUAAGAUGUUUAAUAAUGACGGGAUACUUAAAGAUGCUAAUUAAGUGUAAAUUUCAUUUUAUGUAACAUUGCUGACAGUUUAUAGUCUUGUAUAUAAUCCUUGCUUCUGUCAUUACACAAUGUAUUGUAAUUCCUUGUAAGCUUUUAAGUGAUUUUAAAUAAAUCAUGAAUUCUGA